RNAcentral lists this long non-coding RNA (415 nucleotides) under Phoenix dactylifera (date palm). Its description in RNAcentral is "long non-coding RNA (PDAC_LNC017620)". The record is from RNAcentral. Lineage: Eukaryota; Viridiplantae; Streptophyta; Magnoliopsida; Arecales; Arecaceae.
UUUGUUUUCCUAAUGAGCAUGGUCCACAGAUUUUGUCCUUUUCAAAAAUCAAUUUUGGCACAUCUUUUAUUAAUUCCUUCUUGACUAGUUUUGAUAUUAAUUCCAUACUAGCAUGUCCUAGUCUACGAUGCCAAAGCCAACUUGUUUUAUUUUUCUUUUCUUCAUUAGUAAUUAAGCAUAAUCCAUUUUUCUUGCCUAGAUCAUGAAGAUCUACCAUGUAAAUAUUUCUUUGCCUUUGUCCUACAAGUACAAUGCUAUUAUCUUUAGGAUUUGUGAUUAUGCAUACUGAUGCUUCAAAUGUGACUUUAAACCCUUUAUCACAAAAUUGACUUAUGCUAAGUAGGUUAUGUUUCAAACCCUUAACUAAUAAGACAUUUUCUAUGAAAGUAGAUGAAGUAAUGAAAAUUUUACCCUU